AAAACUUUCAACAACGGAUCUCUUGGCUUUGGCAUCGAUGAAGAACGCAGCGAAAUGCGAUAAGUAAUGUGAAUUGCAGAAUUCAGUGAAUCAUCGAAUCUUUGAACGCACAUUGCGCCCAUUAGUAUUCUAGCGGGCAUGCCUGUUCGAGCGUCAUU
Molecule: ribosomal RNA, 158 nt
Filed under: uncultured fungus
Lineage: Eukaryota; Fungi
Description: 5.8S ribosomal RNA
Rfam family: 5.8S ribosomal RNA
About the family: 5.8S ribosomal RNA (5.8S rRNA) is a component of the large subunit of the eukaryotic ribosome.
Source: RNAcentral